RNAcentral lists this ribosomal RNA (495 nucleotides) under uncultured bacterium. RNAcentral describes it as "partial 16S ribosomal RNA". It matches the Rfam family "Bacterial small subunit ribosomal RNA", at positions 28 to 507 of the family's 1533-position model. The record is from RNAcentral.
GACGAACGCUGGCGGCGUGCCUAAUACAUGCAAGUAGAACGCUGAAGGAGGAGCUUGCUUCUCUGGAUGAGUUGCGAACGGGUGAGUAACGCGUAGGUAACCUGCCUGGUAGCGGGGGAUAACUAUUGGAAACGAUAGCUAAUACCGCAUAAGAGUAGAUGUUGCAUGACAUUUGCUUAAAAGGUGCAAUUGCAUCACUACCAGAUGGACCUGCGUUGUAUUAGCUAGUUGGUGGGGUAACGGCUUACCAAGGCGACGAUACAUAGCCGACCUGAGAGGGGGAUCGGCCACACUGGGACUGAGACACGGCCCAGACUCCUACGGGAGGCAGCAGGAGGGAAUCUUCGGCAAUGGACGGAAGUCUGACCGAGCAACGCCGCGGGAGUGAAGAAGGUUUUCGGAUCGUAAAGCUCUGUUGUAAGAGAAGAACGAGUGUGAGAGUGGAAAGUUCACACUGUGACGGUAGCUUACCAGAAAGGGACGGCUAACUACGUG